This 467-nucleotide ribosomal RNA is filed under the name uncultured bacterium. Its description in RNAcentral is "partial 16S ribosomal RNA". It matches the Rfam family "Bacterial small subunit ribosomal RNA", at positions 28 to 506 of the family's 1533-position model. The record is from RNAcentral.
GACGAACGCUGGCGGCGUGCUUAACACAUGCAAGUCGAACGGAAAGGCCCUGCUUUUGUGGGGUGCUCGAGUGGCGAACGGGUGAGUAACACGUGAGUAGCCUGCCCUUGACUUUGGGAUAACUUCAGGAAACUGGGGCUAAUACCGGAUAGGAGCUCCUGCUGCAUGGUGGGGGUUGGAAAGUUUCGGCGGUUGGGGAUGGACUCGCGGCUUAUCAGCUUGUCGGUGGGGUAGUGGCUUACCAAGGCUUUGACGGGUAGCCGGCCUGAGAGGGUGACCGGCCACAUUGGGACUGAGAUACGGCCCAGACUCCUACGGGAGGCAGCAGUGGGGAAUAUUGCACAAUGGGCGGAAGUCUGAUGCAGCAACGCCGCGUGCGGGAUGACGGCCUUCGGGUUGUAAACCGCUUUCGCCUGUGACGAAGCGUGAGUGACGGUAAUGGGUAAAGAAGCACCGGCUAACUACGU